AGGGUUCGAUUAUGGCUCAGGACGAACGCUGGCGGCGUGCUUAACACAUGCAAGUCGAACGAGGAUGACGACUUCGGUUGUCAUUCGAGUGGCGGACGGGUGAGUAACGCGUGAGCAAUCUGUCCCACAGAGGGGGAUAACAACUGGAAACAGUUGCUAAUACCGCAUAAGACCACACUGUCGCAUGACAGAGAGGUCAAAGGAGCAAUCCGCUGUGGGGUGAGCUCGCGUCCGAUUAGUUCGUUGGUGAGGUAACGGCCCACCAAGACAGCGAUCGGUAGCCGACCUGAGAGGGUGAUCGGCCACAUUGGGACUGAGACACGGCCCAG
This 329-nucleotide ribosomal RNA is filed under the name uncultured bacterium. RNAcentral's name for it is "bacterial SSU rRNA". It matches the Rfam family "Bacterial small subunit ribosomal RNA", at positions 8 to 334 of the family's 1533-position model. The record is from RNAcentral.